UUCAACUCACAAAAGAUGAAGAAAUUAUCAAAGAAUACUUUAACAAAAGUAAAAUAGGUACUAUGGGCGCCAGAAUCACCUACAGUUCACAUAUUCAACACCAACUUGAGCCCAAGUGGGCUCAAUUCUUUGUGUAGAAGGCCACUAUCAAACAUUUCUUUCAACAAACUUGUUGAUUUUGCUUUUAAAACAUCUACUGUAAUAAUCAUCUGAUGAAUUUACAGGACUGAAAAAACAUAAUAACACGCCAGAAUAGAAAUUUUGUUUUCAGUUUUGAUAACCCAUCAUGAGCAUUUUAACUAGUCUAUUCUUUAAUUUUUUAAAUGGCAAGUUAUGAUAGCUUUUACAAAAUCCCUUCCACUCAAUAGCAAUCAACAUCUGCAAACCAUCGAGAAAUUACUUUGGGCCAAUGUCCUUAAGAGCACAGAUCUGCUCCUCCCCCAUUGAAGACAUGACUGUCACAACAAGAUCUUUUCCCUCAGCAAAACCAUCCUUGAUCUGAGACAGAAGAUUCUCAUCAGUUGGGAGCCUCAGGUCAUCUUUUGUGUUCCCAUUUUCAGUAAGCAAACUCACAAAUCCAUCCUCAGAA
Molecule: unclassified non-coding RNA, 589 nt
Filed under: Hevea brasiliensis (rubber tree)
Lineage: Eukaryota; Viridiplantae; Streptophyta; Magnoliopsida; Malpighiales; Euphorbiaceae
Source: RNAcentral